GACGAACGCUGGCGGCGUGCUUAACACAUGCAAGUCGAACGGAAAGGCCCUGCUUUUGUGGGGUGCUCGAGUGGCGAACGGGUGAGUAACACGUGAGUAACCUGCCCUUGACUUUGGGAUAACCUCAGGAAACUGGGGCUAAUACCGGAUAGGAGCUCCUGCUGAAUGGUGGGGGUUGGAAAGUUUCGGCGGUUGGGGAUGGACUCGCGGCUUAUCAGCUUGUUGGUGGGGUAGUGGCUUACCAAGGCUUUGACGGGUAGCCGGCCUGAGAGGGUGACCGGCCACAUUGGGACUGAGAUACGGCCCAGACUCCUACGGGGGGCAGCAGUGGGGAAUAUUGCACAAUGGGCGGAAGCCUGAUGCAGCAACGCCGCGUGCGGGAUGACUGCCUUCGUGUUGUAAACCGCUUUCGCCUGUGACGAAGCGUGAGUGACGGUAAUGGGUAAAGAAGCACCGGCUAACUACGUG
RNAcentral lists this ribosomal RNA (468 nucleotides) under uncultured bacterium. RNAcentral's name for it is "partial 16S ribosomal RNA". It matches the Rfam family "Bacterial small subunit ribosomal RNA", at positions 28 to 507 of the family's 1533-position model. The record is from RNAcentral.